AUUGAACGCUGGCGGCAGGCCUAACACAUGCAAGUCGAGCGGAUGAAGGGAGCUUGUUCCUGGAUUCAGCGGCGGACGGGCGAGUAAUGCACAGGAAUAUGCCUGGCAGUGGGGGCUAACGUCCGGUCACGGGAGCUAAUACCGCAUACGUCCUGAGGGAGAAAGUGGGGGAUCAUUGGACAUAACGCUAUCAGAUGAGACUAGGUCGGAUUAGCUAGCUGGAGGGGUAAAGGCCUACCAAGGCGACGAUCCGUAACUGGUCUGAGAGGCUGAUCAGUCACACUGGAACUGAGACACGGUCCAGACUCCUACGGGAGGCAGCAGUGGGGAAUAUUGGACAAUGGGCGAAAGCCUGGUCCAGCCAUGCCGCGUGUGUGAAGAAGGUCUUCGGAUUGUAAAGCACUUUUAUUAGGGAAGAAGAGCAGUAAGUUAAUACCUGGCUGUUUUGACGUUACCAACUGAGUAAGCACCGGCUAACUACGUG
This 484-nucleotide ribosomal RNA is filed under the name uncultured bacterium. Its description in RNAcentral is "partial 16S ribosomal RNA". It matches the Rfam family "Bacterial small subunit ribosomal RNA", at positions 30 to 507 of the family's 1533-position model. The record is from RNAcentral.